GUGCUGGGCCCAUAACCCAGAGGUCGAUG
RNAcentral lists this non-coding RNA (29 nucleotides) under Callithrix jacchus (white-tufted-ear marmoset). The record is from RNAcentral. Lineage: Eukaryota; Metazoa; Chordata; Mammalia; Primates; Cebidae. RNAcentral also lists the same sequence under 5 other names.